GACGAACGCUGGCGGCGCGCCUAACACAUGCAAGUCGAACGAGCGAGAGAGAGCUUGCUUUCUCGAGCGAGUGGCGAACGGGUGAGUAACGCGUGAGGAACCUGCCUCAAAGAGGGGGACAACAGUUGGAAACGACUGCUAAUACCGCAUAAGCCCACGGCUCGGCAUCGAGCAGAGGGAAAAGGAGCAAUCCGCUUUGAGAUGGCCUCGCGUCCGAUUAGCUAGUUGGUGAGGUAACGGCCCACCAAGGCGACGAUCGGUAGCCGGACUGAGAGGUUGAACGGCCACAUUGGGACUGAGACACGGCCCAGACUCCUACGGGAGGCAGCAGUGGGGAAUAUUGCACAAUGGGGGAAACCCUGAUGCAGCGACGCCGCGUGGAGGAAGAAGGUCUUCGGAUUGUAAACUCCUGUUGUUGGGGAAGAUAAUGACGGUACCCAACAAGGAAGUGACGG
RNAcentral lists this ribosomal RNA (455 nucleotides) under uncultured bacterium. RNAcentral describes it as "bacterial SSU rRNA". It matches the Rfam family "Bacterial small subunit ribosomal RNA", at positions 28 to 496 of the family's 1533-position model. The record is from RNAcentral.